RNAcentral lists this ribosomal RNA (253 nucleotides) under uncultured bacterium. RNAcentral's name for it is "partial 16S ribosomal RNA". It matches the Rfam family "Bacterial small subunit ribosomal RNA", at positions 524 to 776 of the family's 1533-position model. The record is from RNAcentral.
UACGAAGGGGGCUAGCGUUGCUCGGAAUUACUGGGCGUAAAGCGCACGUAGGCGGGUUGUUAAGUCGGGGGUGAAAUCCUGGAGCUCAACUCCAGAACUGCCUUCGAAACUGGCGAUCUUGAGUCCGGGAGAGGUGAGUGGAACUCCGAGUGUAGAGGUGAAAUGCGUAGAGAUGCGGAGGAACACCAGUGGCGAAGGCGGCUCACUGGCCCAGUACUGACGCUGAGGUGCGAAAGCGUGGGGAGCAAACAGG